This 368-nucleotide ribosomal RNA is filed under the name uncultured crenarchaeote. RNAcentral's name for it is "bacterial SSU rRNA". It matches the Rfam family "Archaeal small subunit ribosomal RNA", at positions 970 to 1338 of the family's 1478-position model. The record is from RNAcentral. Lineage: Archaea; Thermoproteati; Thermoproteota.
GCCAGACAAGCUGAGAGGAGGUGCAUGGCCGUCGCCAGUUCGUGCCGUGAGGUGUUCUCUUAAGUGAGAUAACGAACGAGACCCGUGCCCCAUGUUGCCAUCAGACCUAAAGGGUUGCUGGGCACUCUUGGGGGACCGAAGCCGAUAAGGCUUAGGAAGGUGCGGGCAACGGCAGGUCAGUAUGCCCCGAAUGUCCCGGGCCACACGCGGGCUGCAAUGGUAUGGACAGAGGGCUGCCACCCCGAGAGGGGGAGCCAACCCCUAAACCAUACCUCAGUUGGGAUUGAGGGCUGUAACCCGCCCUCAUGAACAUGGAAUGCCUAGUAACCGCGCGUCAUCAUCGCGCGGUGAAUACGUCCCUGCUCCUU